Molecule: ribosomal RNA, 402 nt
Filed under: uncultured bacterium
Lineage: Bacteria
Description: bacterial SSU rRNA
Rfam family: Bacterial small subunit ribosomal RNA
Source: RNAcentral
UGGGGAAUCUUGCACAAUGGGGGCAACCCUGAUGCAGCGACGCCGCGUGAGCGAUGAAGCCCUUCGGGGCGUAAAGCUCUUUCGACCGGAACGAUAAUGACGGUACCGGGAGAAGAAGCUGCGGCUAACUACGUGCCAGCAGCCGCGGUAAUACGUAGGCAGCAAGCGUUGUUCGGAGUUACUGGGCGUAAAGAGUGCGUAGGCGGUUUUCUAAGUUCGGUGUGUAAUCUCCCGGCUUAACUGGGAGGGUGCGCCGAAGACUGGGAAGCUGGAGUGUGGGAAAGGCAGGCGGAAUUCCUGGUGUAGCGGUGAAAUGCGUAGAUAUCAGGAGGAACACCGGCGGUGUAGACGGCUUGCUAGACCAUAACUGACGCUGAGGCACGAAAGCGUGGGUAGCAAACA